UGGUGAGGAUUUGACAACUAUUGUCUUCCAUUAUCUUCGAAGGGUCUUUGAACUUGUGCAGAGCUCCUCUGCUAGAUAGAUAAGAGAAUUGGGGUACUCGGUUUCGCCCAUUCUCUUAAGAGUUGAGAAGGCAAAGGUUACUUGACUUCGCCCGCCUCCUCGAGGUUGUACUUCAUGCAUCGAGCUGGUUACUAGCCUUCGCCUACUCUUUUCUCACACUUCUGAAGCACUUGAAGUGUUUGCACUCCUUGCAUUGAGUUAGUUACUGUGAUUCACCUUCUCAAAGCCAUUGAACUUCUGGAAUGCAGGAAGUUUUCACCCCAACUUGGAGUAAUU
RNAcentral lists this long non-coding RNA (336 nucleotides) under Musa acuminata (dwarf banana). RNAcentral's name for it is "long non-coding RNA (MACU_LNC011425)". The record is from RNAcentral. Lineage: Eukaryota; Viridiplantae; Streptophyta; Magnoliopsida; Zingiberales; Musaceae.